GGGGAUGUAAAGGUUUCGACGGGGAGAGUGAAGCGAGAGCAGCGGGUCGUGUUCGAGGGACACACGUAAAACGCCUUCAAAAAAAUAGCUAACAACAACAAAUUAGCUGUCGCUGCCUAAUUAAAGGCGGCUGUCCUGCCUGUUCCAGUGCCGUACAGGGCCAGGGCAUCAUUUAGGCACUGAACGUGAACGGCCUUAAGCUUUGCGGGCCGUCAUGACCUCAUGAAGCUACCGAAGCGGCGGCGCGUGCGCCCGCCUGCCGCCGGGGGAACCCUGUAGGCGUAUCUGCACCCGGAGAUACUAGCGCAGAUCUCUUUUCGGACACGGGUUCGACUCCCGUCAUCUCCACCA
Molecule: transfer-messenger RNA, 351 nt
Filed under: Oscillospiraceae
Lineage: Bacteria; Bacillati; Bacillota; Clostridia; Eubacteriales
Also listed under: 3 other names
Description: Ruthenibacterium merdipullorum Standard tmRNA
Rfam family: transfer-messenger RNA
About the family: Bacterial tmRNA, also known as 10Sa RNA or SsrA, is named for its dual tRNA and mRNA-like properties. Its role is to liberate the mRNA from a stalled ribosome.
Source: RNAcentral